UGGGGAAUCUUGGACAAUGGGCGGGACCACCUGUCCAGCCAUGCCGCGUGAGUGAUGAAGGCCUUAGGGUCGUAAAGCUCUUUCGCCUGUGAAGAUAAUGACGGUAGCAGGUAAAGAAACCCCGGCUAACUCCGUGCCAGCAGCCGCGGUAAUACGGAGGGGGUUAGCGUUGUUCGGAAUUACUGGGCGUAAAGCGCACGUAGGCGGACCAGAAAGUUGGGGGUGAAAUCCCGGGGGCUCAACCCCGGAACUGCCUCCAAAACUAUUGGUCUAGAGUUCGAGAGAGGUGAGUGGAAUUCCAAGUGUAGAGGUGAAAUUCGUAGAUAUUUGGAGGAACACCAGUGGCGAAGGCGGCUCACUGGCUCGAUACUGACGCUGAGGUGCGAAAGUGUGGGGAGCAAACAGGAUUAGAUACCCUGGUAGUCCACACCGUAAAACGAUGAAUGCCAGUCGUCGGGUAGCAUGCUAUUCGGUGACACACCUAACGGAUUAAGCAUUCCGCCUGGGGAGUACGGUCGCAAGAUUAAAACUCAAAUGAAUUG
This 542-nucleotide ribosomal RNA is filed under the name uncultured bacterium. RNAcentral describes it as "bacterial SSU rRNA". It matches the Rfam family "Bacterial small subunit ribosomal RNA", at positions 355 to 912 of the family's 1533-position model. The record is from RNAcentral.